Molecule: non-coding RNA, 6552 nt
Organism: Microcebus murinus (gray mouse lemur)
Lineage: Eukaryota; Metazoa; Chordata; Mammalia; Primates; Cheirogaleidae
Source: RefSeq, a predicted model, not a curated record
CCACUACAGCUUCGUGAAACCUGGUCAGUCGAUUACAGCCAAUGUCUACUGCAACCAAUUGGACAAAAUUAUGAGGAUCCUUGUGAUUAAGUAGCUGAGAUUGGUCAACAGAGACAGGCCAAUUCUCUUGCCUGUCUCGACUACAUGUUGCACAAACAACUCUGCUUAAACUACAGUAGCUGGACUUGGAAAUUCUCUCUCAUCCGUUGUAUUCAUUAGACCUUGCACCAACUGACCACCACUUCUUCCAGGCUUCGGACCACUUUUUACAAGGAAAGAUAUUCAGUUCUCACCAAGCCGUGGAAAACACCUGUCAUGAUCUCAUUACCACUCGCUCUCCAGGCUUCUUCGCUGCUGCAUAAACAAGCUGUCGUGAAGAUGGCAAAACCGUGUUGAUAGUUUAGGUGCAUACUUUGGCUCAUUGUACUGCUUCUUAAUUGAGAUAUAUACUAAACUUUUGAUUUGAAACUGGAUAUGUCAUAUUUAAUGACCAAUGUUUCUGACAAAGAAGAAGGAACAGACAUUAUUUUCUUAAUCCUUUAAGAAAAUAAUGAGAAAGCUGAAGCACAGAUGGGUUUAAGGACCUCCCAUGACCCUAAAGCCAGUCAGGAGUGAGAUGUGUGCCCAUGGAUGCUGCAGUGUAUGACAGAGGCUCACGGUGACUGAGGUGGCCACUUCUGAAGUCACAGUGUGCACAGCAGGAUGAGGAGCCACACAUGCAUAGGAGGCUAGAGGGUUUUCCUGCUUUUUUAUUAUCUCCCUGUUGACUACCUUAAUGCUUCUCAGAGGUUCAUCUGUGUAUGCAGGCUGCUUUCAGGUGCUAGACAGAUGGAAAUUCUUAAUAGUUCCUUAUUUUAAUGUGCACCAGGGGAAGAACCCUGUAACUAGCAGGUCACACACCUGGUUUCAUAUUUCAUGAAUAUUUUUGCACAGAAUAAAGCAUUUGUGUUUCCUUAAGGUGGGGGGACACCGGGAAGAACACAUUUACCAAAGUGAUAAGGAACUCAUGGGUGAGGGGCACCAGCUUCACUGACAAGCUCAGUGGUAGCUCUGUAGGCCAGAAGAUGCAGAAGGUGGCUCCCUGAUGGCCGUGGGCACGGAAGAAUAGAGGCCCAGUGGCAGUGCUUCACUAUCAGGAACAAAGACAUGAUUACCAUGAGUGGCCAGAUCUGAAGGAUACCUGCAGAGAGCUUUGGAGAUGGUUAUUAGAACACAGCAUCCCUGGAAGCAAAAUAGAUAGCAAACAGUGAGUUAUUGUUCAAGCUAUACCAUCAAGAGAUCUUAAGGAUGGAUGACUGGAAGAGAGGGCACAGCUACCAUAAUAAAAGGUGAUGAUCUUUUGCCAAGUUUCCAGACCUUUGUUCUUUUUCAAACCCAGAAACUACUGACUGGAGGAAAGGCUGGAUCCCCAAGAAGGUCUUUGAAACACCGCUGCAGGUAUAGAUGGCAGUGAUGCCCCUGUGGUUAUUUACUUGGAUAACUGGACACUGGGGAAGGGAAUACACAAACACCCUGAGGACCAUGGAACACAAGGUCCAAGUCGACAUUGAAACUCAGGGCCAGAGUACCAACAUAGGCCAUCUUUAGAGUGGGGCAUAUGGGAUCCAGGUACUAUAUGGAGUUCUUCCCCAGGUCUUCCUUAUAGUAGGUGUGUUGAAUUUAUGGGUCUACUCAAUGACCAUCUUCCUACUUUCAGAAUAAAUAAUUGGGCUGAACAUAUUUGGGAGUUGGCAGAAGCACUAUCAUGAUUCAUUGAAGAAUCAAAACUCAUCAACAAGAUGGGCAACCACCUGGCCAACCCCUGCAGGCCAGCCGGCCCCCAGGUUGGGCCGGGCUCACUCUCAAGCACGACAAGGAGCCCACCAAGCCCAGGGACCUCUGAGGAGCCCCUCGCAAAGUAUCAGGGCUUCUGCCUGUGCCUCUCCCUCCAGCCACUAGGCAACUUUUUAACCAUUCUAGAGUCCUUUCCCAAGCCUUGGGCCAAGUGGAAAUAGAGUUUUUGCAGGAAAAAAAAAAUUAGCCCAGAGGAUUUAUCUGUUGAAAUACACAUUGUGAAUCAUUUUUUAAAUGUAUUUAUCUUUUAUAUUAAGUAGGACAUUAUUUUUAAAAAUUUGAUCUUUCUUAGAUGUUAUUAUCUGUAAGUUUCUUUAACAUAAAUGGUGAAAUAAUUUUUAAUGACUAUCACUAAAGCUUCCUUUCUUUAGUUAAGACAUUAAGUAUACAAUUUCCUAGGAAUUACUUGUUUAAAGGCAGUAACUUUUGGAAGAGAACUACAUUGACAGCCUCAGAAACUAGUUUAUCCAAUAACCUUCCAAUGAUCAGGACAGGAUCAUGGCACAAACCUGGCUUCCCUUCCAUUGGAUUAACGUAUUAUCAUUUAUCACUUUUUAUUUCUAAGAUCACAAGAAAUAUGUUGCACUAAAAGGAGUACACUCUCAUAAUUUCCAAAUCACAACCGUGUGCAGAAUGACAAUGGCCAGCCACUUAGAGUAGGAGACUAGGAGACAGAGCUGAGAUAGGAUACAGGGGAUUACAGAGUGAGUACAGGUGUUAAAAUAACCCUCAGACAAAAACUAGUUAGGCUACCAGGCUGGGAGCUGGAUACAGGGGCUGGCAGAAUGAAUGCAGGUGUUAAAGUCUAACUAAGAGGGACUCAUAAUAUCCACAGAUAAAAACUGGCUUCAACUGGCUUGUCAGCUGUCUAGGCCACCUUACAUAAACUUUGGCCAAUUACAAUAUCAUUUACAUUGUGGUUUUAAAAGUUCUUUGCCCUUAACAUCGCCAUGGCAGUUCCAAAACAAUUAUAUAAACUAUAAAAAUGGGAGCCAACUCAAUUCUAGAAAUUACUACUCAAAAUCUUAGUCCAGAUAAUACUUGGUUUUGAAUAUUUCUCCCCUCAAUUAGAGAGACAUCAAAAAGCCAAAGACCCCUUCUUGUCGGGGCAGCUACUCUUUUUGAGCCUGUCCUCUUCUCUUCAGAAUGUAAUUUCACUUUUGCUUUCGAUAAAAUCUUCUUGCUUUUGGGUUAUGUGUGGUGUAUCCUAAAAUUUUUUUCUUCCAAUGAUCUCCAAGAACCUAAAAAACCUCCACUCAGAGGCCGGUGACAUCUCUAUGGCGACCAGGGCAGGACACGGCGCAUAAGCCUUGACGUGGCUGUCGUGUCAUAAUUUGGGGACCUACAUACAGCCUUUGCCCAGCUUUGCAGCUGACUAUCUGUCAAUUUACACCUAAAGAAAAGAGAUCCAAGUUUGAAAGGCUUGUGUUAGGACCUCGGGCUCUACAAGGAAGCCUCAGGAGCUGCAGGUAGGGCUCGGGGCUCAGGUGAUGGGCGGAAGGGGCAGGGGAGGGUGAGGUGAGGAGGAGCCAGAGAAGGGUAGGGCUCCCAAGGUUAAGUGCCUGGGAAUCUAGUUUUUCGACACCAGCCUUCCUUCAAAGACAGCAGCUAUAUUUUAUAUCUAUAUUUAUCUAUUCUUUGUAACAUUGUCAGUUCAAAUAGUAUUUCAUGUUUUUCCCCUAAAGGAUUCAUUCCACUGCUGGGAGAAAAAAUGGUAAAAAUCACUGGCUUACAUAGACCCAAAUCACACCUCAUUUAUAGAUUGUUUAGUAGAUUAAACAGUACCCCACCCUCGCCCCAAAUUCACUAUUCGCGGAGGAGUUCAGAACAUCUAGGAAAAAGUUUAAGCAAAACCAGGAUUAUUUCCCCAAAUUAACAUGACCUAUUCCAUUUACUCCAGAGGACUUCUGCCCUCCAGGGACUGCUGAGCCACAUAAUCCUGUCUUUGAGCUUGAGUGAGGGGAGGCGUGGGGCAGAGAUGGGCUCCAACGCCGCUGGAUGUUCAGUCUCUCUGGAAUCAGGACAACCUGCGUCCUUUUCCUGCGCUGUGCAGGAUUCUUAUUGAACACUAGAUGCCGCUGUUGUCCCACUCUGUUGUCUGCCAGCUUCAAGAUUUCCAGCCAGUUUCCAUCAAGAGAUGGUUUUUAAAAGCCUGAACUAAUAUACAAAGGUCUGUUUAUUUUUCUCUUACUUAAUGAUUGAUUUAGAGAGUUUUAAAAAUAUUUUUUGAUAAAUUUCAGAGGUUGUCUUUCUUUCUGGAAAACAUUUGACAAUUGGCAGAAAAUGCAAAGAUGAAAAGGUGUGGAUGUUUUGUAAAGAAGAAAGGUUAACUCAGGCUAGAGGUUUGCAAAUAAGAUCAUUUUUUGACAUCUGAGCUUCUGCCCAAGGAAAAAUUCAAGUUCCUCUCUGGCUGACUUGUUUCUCUAGUUCUGUGGCAUGCCAAGCUGGUUUUGUCUUCAGUAUUUAUUUGAGAAUCACAAUUUGAGAUAUGCUUGAUGACUAUCUUUACUAUGUUCCAGGUUGUUAGUGUCAUUACUGGUUUUUUUACCUUAAAAAAGAACCAUACUUUGGCAAAUUUUUAACACACAAGUGGAAAGAUUAGUAGUGAAGUGUGCUCUGUAUACCCAUCCUUUUAUAAACGACCAAGUUUUACAUCAUCAUCUACUUAAUCCAUUUCUUAGGCAGGUUUUACUGUCUUUAUUGUAUAGAUAGUAAAAUUGAGGACCAGAGAGAUUAAGCAGCUAGUUGUACAGUCUAAUUCAAACCCCUACUUCCAAAAAGUGUUUCUAUGACAAUACUCUUCCACCUGAUUUCUAGCAGAGCUGUGCAUAUCUGAAAGCCAAAUCCUCUUUUGAAGACCAGACCUACAUAUAUACAUUUUCAAGAGCUUUUGCAAUAUAUUUGCAGGGGUCUUCUAAAGAGAGAACAAUUUAUUGCUAGAUUUAGCUACUGCUAAAUUUACAAUAGCUGUGCAUAUUGUAAAUGUGUGCCUAUUUAGGCAUUUUAUUCUUUUUAAUACAAAGGAACUCAAAAACUACCAGAAUAUAGUUGAGAUCCCUUAGAAGCUAUAAACUGUCACAAACGACUGGAUGUUGUAAAUGACAAAGACAGUACAAGGUCCUCUCCAGCUUGCAUUUCCAACCUGGAAAUACCCCUUUAGGAAUUUCCCUGGAUGCUUCACUACAUUCACAGAACCUGAAUAUUUUAAAACCAAAGCUGCACUAACUCUUGUUCUCUAUAAUUAGUCACCUUCUAUCUUCAACCUUGUCUACCACUCCUCAUUUUUAUUAAACUCCCUGAUCCCUUGUGUCGUAGCUCCAGGCAACCCCACAGCUGGAGCCAUAGAAAACACAGAGGUUGGUCAUCCGUCUCCUAAGAUGUAGUAUGGGAUACCAUCUUCUGAGACUUCUCAGGUCCUUUCAGCUUCUUUUCAUUAUUAUUAUUUCAGCAGACCAAGCACUAAAGGAAUAUGGGCCAGUUAGGACCAGUUUCAGACUCACAGUGAUCUGGCAAUGGGUGGCAGAGGUGAUGCCUUUCUCAAAAGGCAGGUCACUAAAUGUUAUUUGGAAAUGUAGAAAAUUGCAAAUAAAAUCGGAGAUUUUUUUUUUUGCUCCAUUUUAGUCCUUAAAAUUCCCUGAUCCUUCCAGAACAAAUAUGACUCAGAUGUGGAGGCAGUGCUAUCUCUGUGCUCCCAUAGGGAAGUGCUCGGAGCGUUUCUGCUAUUGCAUUGAAAUACGUGUUUACAUUACUGUGCCCACCCACCCCCCUCCAUGAGAAGACUGCCUCCAGGGGAGCACCAAAUCCUGAUCAUCUCUGUAUCCCUGUCACCCUAUCUUUCAUAGUGCCUGGUCUACAACAGUGUUUGUCAACCCUGACUUCAUGUCAGAGGCCUUUGGUGUUGCAAACAUACAGAUCUCCAGACCUGCUGAGCAAGACUCUUGAGACAGCACAGUUCAGCCGGGUACAGGAAUGAAAAACAAGAACUCGGGCCACUAUAGAUCUGAAUCCUCAGGACAUCUGCUCAGGGACUUCAUUUCCCCCAUCCUUCACUCCCUACGCCUCAUUUAAUUGAAGUGUGGGUAAUCGUUCUACUGAAAUCUGGAAAGAAUUGAUUCUACAAUACUCUGUAUUCUUUUUCUGCAAAUGUAAAAAUUUUGGAAGAAUAUAUGUGAAUUGCUAGCCUCUUUGAGUCAUGACUUGGGAAAGGUGACUCAAGGACUCGGAGACAUUUAAUUUUAGAAAACCAUCCAGCUUUUGGUUAGAGAAUCAUGCCCAGAAGAAAACUGCCUCAUUAAUUCAUAUUAUCUGCAUGCAAAGCAGAACAAAUUUAUGAACAUCUCUUUAGUAUGAGGUGUGAGGGAAAUCCCAACAUGUUGAAUUCAAAAUAGGAUAAAAACUGGAGAAAUUAAUUGUACUAUAUCUACUAUUAUGAAUUUACAUUGUAUAAAAAGUUACAAAUAUUACCUUUGUUUUGUAUGCUAUUGUUUUUUUUUUUUUUAGUUCAGUAAUAGCUCCUUUUCAAUCUCCUUUGCUGGAUUCUUCUCUAAGCAAUCUCAAAAUGUAGGUGUUUCUAUAGACUUUCAUUCAUAAGAAAUGUUUAUGGUAAGUGUUUGAAUAAAAAAGAAAACAUUAAAACUGGUUCCUUGUGUGGAAUCCUGCUAUAAUCCCAGUGCUUUGGCAAGCCACAGUGGGAGGAUUGCUUGAGGCCAGGAGUUUGAG